UGGCUCUCCAUGGGUAAGUAACAUAUCUUCCAUAGGAGUAUCUUUUUUAGAUUCAGUGUAUCUUUUAAAUGUAUAGAUUCAGCAAUUGAUAUGUAUUAAUUGUUAUUUUUUAUUUAUUUUAUUUAACAAUUAUUUGGUCACUUUAUUUUGGACUUUAGUAAUUAAUUUUUUCUUUAUUUUUUUUAAUAUAGCCACUUUUGUUGGCAAACGAUAUGUAUUAAUAUAUUUUUUUUCUUCAUUUUAUUUAACAUAUCAUCAGGUCAUUUUAUCUUGGACUCUAACCCCUCCCUACAUCCCACGAAUCUUGAUGCAAUUUUUUAAUUUAAAAGGAAAAUUUACAAUACAAAAUUUUCGACAUUCAAAAAUCGAAUCAAAACCAAAAUUUGAAGUUGGUUCGAGAAAAAUUGUUGGUCAAAUU
RNAcentral lists this long non-coding RNA (418 nucleotides) under Salvia miltiorrhiza (redroot sage). RNAcentral describes it as "long non-coding RNA (SMIL_LNC003605)". Lineage: Eukaryota; Viridiplantae; Streptophyta; Magnoliopsida; Lamiales; Lamiaceae. The record is from RNAcentral.